Molecule: non-coding RNA, 215 nt
Filed under: Agrobacterium albertimagni
Lineage: Bacteria; Pseudomonadati; Pseudomonadota; Alphaproteobacteria; Hyphomicrobiales; Rhizobiaceae
Also listed under: 1 other name
Source: RNAcentral
UAAUCUCUCCUUCGUGAUGGUUCCGCCCCGACUAGACCGGAAGGGCGGACGAAGAGGGAAUACGGUGAGGAUUACCCAUCAGGGGCCGAAACCGUGGCUGCCCCCGCAACUGUGAACGGCGAGCGACGUCCGAAAAGCCAUUGGCCUUCAGCUGAUAAGGCGGACCGAAGCCCUGACCCGUGAGCCAGGAGACCUGCCAUCGCUUGGCGCCGUGA